Molecule: ribosomal RNA, 492 nt
Filed under: uncultured bacterium
Lineage: Bacteria
Description: partial 16S ribosomal RNA
Rfam family: Bacterial small subunit ribosomal RNA
Source: RNAcentral
AGUGAACGCUGGCGGUAGGCCUAACACAUGCAGGUCGAACGGCAGCACAGUAAGAGCUUGCUCUUACGGGUGGCGAGUGGCGGACGGGUGAGGAAUACAUCGGAAUCUACUUUUUCGUGGGGGAUAACGUAGGGAAACUUACGCUAAUACCGCAUACGACCUACGGGUGAAAGCAGGGGAUCUUCGGACCUUGCGCGAUUGAAUGAGCCGAUGUCGGAUUAGCUAGUUGGCGGGGUAAAGGCCCACCAAGGCGACGAUCCGUAGCUGGUCUGAGAGGAUGAUCAGCCACACUGGAACUGAGACACGGGCCAGACUCCUACGGGAGGCAGCAGUGGGGAAUAUUGGACAAUGGGCGCAAACCUGAUCCAGCCAUACCGCGUGGGUGAAGAAGGCCUUCGGGUUGUAAAGCCCUUUUGUUGGGAAAGAAAAGCAGCAGGUUAAUACCCCGCUGUUCUGACGGUACCCAAAGAAAAAGCACCGGCUAACUUCGUG